This 1469-nucleotide ribosomal RNA is filed under the name uncultured bacterium. RNAcentral describes it as "bacterial SSU rRNA". It matches the Rfam family "Bacterial small subunit ribosomal RNA". The record is from RNAcentral.
AGGUUUGAUCCUGGCUCAGGAUGAACGCUAGCGGUGUGCCUAAUGCAUGCAAGUCGAACGAGAUCCCUGGAUUCGUUUAGGGUGAGCUGGCGAACGGGUGAGUAACACGUAGGUGACCUGCCCCGGAGAGGGGGAUAACUGCUGUAAACGGUGGCUAAUACCCCAGAUGUCGUUGGAUUUAGAAACUAACGUCUGAAGCUCCGGCGCUCCUAAGGGGCCUGCGGCCCAUCAGCUAGUUGGUAGGGUAAUAGCCUACCAAGGCGAAGACGGGUAGGGGCGUGAGAGCGUGACCCCCCACACUGGUACUGAGACACGGUAGAUACCUCCGGUAGCAGCAGCAAGGAAUAUUGCCCAAUGGAGGAAACUCUACGGCAGCAACACCGCGUGGAGGAUGAAGGCCUUCGGGUUGUAAACUCCUUUUCUGGGGGAUGAGAAAGGACAGUAUACAGGAAUAAGUCUCGGCUAACUACGUGCCAGCAGCCGCGGUAAAACGUAGGAGGCAAGCGUUAUCCGGAUUGGUGGGCUUAAAGCGCAUGCAGGCGGACGCUUAAGUCGGACGUGAAAGCUCCCGGCUCAACUGGGAGAGGCCGUUCGAAACUAGGCGUCUUGAGGAUGGUAGACGAGUGGAAUUCCCGGUGUAGUGGUGAAAUGCGUAAUUCGGGAGGAACACCAGUGGCGAAGGCGGCUCUCUGGUACAUUCCUGACGCUCAAUGCAAAGCUAGGGGAGAGAACGGGAUUAGAAACCCCGGUAUUCCUACCGUAAACGAUGUCAACCUAGGCGUGGAGUCAUUGACCCUUCUGUGCUGUAGCUAACGCGUUAAGUUGACCGCCUGUAGACUACGGCCGCAAGGCUAAAACUCAAAGGAAUUGACGGGGACCCGCAAAAGCAGCGGAGCGUGUGGUUUAAUUCGAGAACGCGAAGAACCUUACCAGGGCUUGACAUGCGUGGUAGUGAAACGAAAGUGGAACGACCCUUCGGGGAGCGCAUUCAGGUGCUGCAUGGCUGUCGUCAGCUCGUGCCGUGAGGUUGUUAGGUUAAGUCCUGUAACGAGCGCAACACGUCGCUAGUUACAUGUGUCUAGCGAGACUGCCGGUGAUAAGCCGGAGGAAGGUGAGGAUGACGUCAAGUCAGCAUGGCCUUUAUGUCCAGUGGGCUACACACACGCUACAAUGGCCGGUACAAUGGGCAGCCAAGCCACGAGGCGGAGCCAGUAAUCCUUCAAAGCCGGUCUCAGUUCGGAUUGCAGGCUGCAACUCGCCUGCAUGAAGUCGGACUGCUAGUAAACGCGCGUCAGCAACAGUGCGUUGAAUACGUUUGGGUCUUGUACACACCGCCCGUCACGUCAUGGAAGUUGGCAACGCCUGAAGUCGGUGAGCUAACCCGCAAGGGAGGCAUCCGCCUAAGGCGGGGUGUAACGGGACGAAGUCGUAACAAGGUAGCUGUAGCGGAAGCUGCGGCUGACACCUCC